ACUGACAUAGCUCAACUGGGAGAGCAUUUCCCUUACAAGGAAGGGGCUGGGAGUUCGAUUCUCUCUGUCAGUA
Molecule: transfer RNA, 73 nt
Filed under: Lachnospiraceae bacterium
Lineage: Bacteria; Bacillati; Bacillota; Clostridia; Lachnospirales; Lachnospiraceae
Description: tRNA-Val
Rfam family: tRNA
About the family: Transfer RNA (tRNA) molecules are approximately 80 nucleotides in length.
Source: RNAcentral